UACGGAGGGAGCUAGCGUUAUUCGGAAUUACUGGGCGUAAAGCGCACGUAGGCGGCUUUGUAAGUUAGAGGUGAAAGCCUGGAGCUCAACUCCAGAAUUGCCUUUAAGACUGCAUAGCUUGAAUCCAGGAGAGGUGAGUGGAAUUCCGAGUGUAGAGGUGAAAUUCGUAGAUAUUCGGAAGAACACCAGUGGCGAAGGCGGCUCACUGGACUGGUAUUGACGCUGAGGUGCGAAAGCGUGGGGAGCAAACAGG
Molecule: ribosomal RNA, 253 nt
Filed under: uncultured bacterium
Lineage: Bacteria
Description: partial 16S ribosomal RNA
Rfam family: Bacterial small subunit ribosomal RNA
Source: RNAcentral